GACGAACGCUGGCGGCGUGCCUAAUACAUGCAAGUAGAACGCUGAAGGAGGAGCUUGCUUCUCCGGAUGAGUUGCGAACGGGUGAGUAACGCGUAGGUAACCUGCCUGGUAGCGGGGGAUAACUAUUGGAAACGAUAGCUAAUACCGCAUAAGAGUAGAUGUUGCAUGACAUUUGCUUAAAAGGUGCAAUUGCAUCACUACCAGAUGGACCUGCGUUGUAUUAGCUAGUUGGUGAGGUAACGGCUCACCAAGGCGACGAUACAUAGCCGACCUGAGAGGGUGAUCGGCCACACUGGGACUGAGACACGGCCCAGACUCCUACGGGAGGCAGCAGUAGGGAAGCUUCGGCAAUGGACGGAAGUCUGACCGAGCAACGCCGCGUGAGUGAAGAAGGUUUUCGGAUCGUAAAGCUCUGUUGUAAGAGAAGAACGAGUGUGAGAGUGGAAAGUUCACACUGUGACGGUAUCUUACCAGAAAGGGACGGCUAACUACGUG
This 495-nucleotide ribosomal RNA is filed under the name uncultured bacterium. RNAcentral describes it as "partial 16S ribosomal RNA". It matches the Rfam family "Bacterial small subunit ribosomal RNA", at positions 28 to 507 of the family's 1533-position model. The record is from RNAcentral.